RNAcentral lists this transfer RNA (63 nucleotides) under Orestes mouhotii. Its description in RNAcentral is "tRNA-Ser". Lineage: Eukaryota; Metazoa; Arthropoda; Insecta; Phasmatodea; Heteropterygidae. The record is from RNAcentral.
AGCUAAUAAGUUUUAUAGAAACGUAUAUCUUGAAAAUAUAAGAAAGAGUUACUCUAUUGGCUU